UGGGGAAUAUUGGACAAUGGGCGAAAGCCUGAUCCAGCCAUGCCGCGUGUGUGAAGAAGGUCUUCGGAUUGUAAAGCACUCUAAGUUGGGAGGAAGGGCAGUAAGCGAAUACCUUGCUGUUUUGACGUUACCGACAGAAUAAGCACCGGCUAACUCUGUGCCAGCAGCCGCGGUAAUACAGAGGGUGCAAGCGUUAAUCGGAAUUACUGGGCGUAAAGCGCGCGUAGGUGGUUCGUUAAGUUGAAUGUGAAAGCCCCGGGCUCAACCUGGGAACUGCAUCCAAAACUGGCGAGCUAGAGUAGGGCAGAGGGUGGUGGAAUUUCCUGUGUAGCGGUGAAAUGCGUAGAGAUAGGAAGGAACACCAGUGGCGAAGGCGACCACCUGGGCUCAUACUGACACUGAGGUGCGAAAGCGUGGGGAGCAAACAGG
This 429-nucleotide ribosomal RNA is filed under the name Pseudomonadota bacterium. RNAcentral's name for it is "Proteobacteria bacterium partial 16S ribosomal RNA". It matches the Rfam family "Bacterial small subunit ribosomal RNA", at positions 355 to 776 of the family's 1533-position model. Lineage: Bacteria; Pseudomonadati; Pseudomonadota. The record is from RNAcentral.